GUAGGUGGCAAGCGUUGUCCGGAAUUAUUGGGCGUAAAGCGCGCGCAGGCGGUUCUUUAAGUCUGAUGCGAAAGCCCACGGCUCAACCGUGGAGGGUCAUUGGAAACUGGAGAACUUGAGUACAGAAGAGGAAAGCGGAAUUCCACGUGUAGCGGUGAAAUGCGUAGAGAUGUGGAGGAACACCAGUGGCGAAGGCGGCUUUCUGGUCUGUAACUGACGCUGAGGCGCGAAAGCGUGGGGAGCAAACAGGGAUUAGAUACCCUGGUAGUCCACGCCGUAAACGAUGAGUGCUAAGUGUUAGGGGGUUUCCGCCCCCUUGGUGCUGCAGCUAACGCAUUAAGCACUCCGCCUGGGGAGUACGGCCGCAAGGCUG
This 373-nucleotide ribosomal RNA is filed under the name uncultured organism. RNAcentral describes it as "partial 16S ribosomal RNA". It matches the Rfam family "Bacterial small subunit ribosomal RNA", at positions 527 to 896 of the family's 1533-position model. The record is from RNAcentral.